This 86-nucleotide transfer RNA is filed under the name Chloroflexota bacterium. RNAcentral describes it as "Chloroflexi bacterium (marine sediment metagenome) tRNA-Leu". It matches the Rfam family "tRNA". Rfam says of the family: Transfer RNA (tRNA) molecules are approximately 80 nucleotides in length. Their secondary structure includes four short double-helical elements and three loops (D, anti-codon, and T loops). Further hydrogen bonds mediate the characteristic L-shaped molecular structure. tRNAs have two regions of fundamental functional importance: the anti-codon, which is responsible for specific mRNA codon recognition, and the 3' end, to which the tRNAs corresponding amino acid is attached (by aminoacyl-tRNA synthetases). tRNAs cope with the degeneracy of the genetic code in two manners: having more than one tRNA (with a specific anti-codon) for a particular amino acid; and 'wobble' base-pairing, i.e. permitting non-standard base-pairing at the 3rd anti-codon position. The record is from RNAcentral. RNAcentral also lists the same sequence under 3 other names. Lineage: Bacteria; Bacillati; Chloroflexota.
GCCGGGGUGGCGGAAAGGUAGACGCGGCGGACUUAAAAUCCGCUACCUUCACGGGUGUGUGGGUUCGAUUCCCGCCCCCGGCACCA